This 74-nucleotide transfer RNA is filed under the name Acidithiobacillus sp. MC6.1. Its description in RNAcentral is "tRNA-Gly". It matches the Rfam family "tRNA". From Rfam's summary of the family: Transfer RNA (tRNA) molecules are approximately 80 nucleotides in length. Their secondary structure includes four short double-helical elements and three loops (D, anti-codon, and T loops). The record is from RNAcentral. Lineage: Bacteria; Pseudomonadati; Pseudomonadota; Acidithiobacillia; Acidithiobacillales; Acidithiobacillaceae.
GCGGGCUUGGCAUAGUGGCCGUGCGUCAGCCUUCCAAGCUGGAUACGCGAGUUCGAUCCUCGCAGUCCGCUCCA